RNAcentral lists this transfer RNA (74 nucleotides) under Gemmobacter caeni. RNAcentral's name for it is "tRNA-Arg". It matches the Rfam family "tRNA". From Rfam's summary of the family: Transfer RNA (tRNA) molecules are approximately 80 nucleotides in length. Lineage: Bacteria; Pseudomonadati; Pseudomonadota; Alphaproteobacteria; Rhodobacterales; Paracoccaceae. The record is from RNAcentral.
GCGCCGUUAGCUCAACCGGAUAGAGCGGCCGACUUCUAAUCGGCAGGUUGGGGGUUCGAGUCCCUCACGGCGCG